CCUACGGGAGGCAGCAGUGGGGAAUCUUGCGCAAUGGGCGAAAGCCUGACGCAGCCACGCCGCGUGCGGGAUGAAGGCCCUAGGGUUGUAAACCGCUUUUAACAGGAACGAAAAUGACGGUACCUGUAGAAUAAGGUGCGGCCAACUACGUGCCAGCAGCCGCGGUGACACGUAGGCACCAAGCGUUGUCCGGAUUUAUUGGGCGUAAAGAGCUCGUAGGCGGUUCAGUAAGUCGGGUGUGAAAACUCUGGGCUUAACCCAGAGACGCCACUCGAUACUAUUGUGACUAGAGUUCGGUAGGGGAGCGGGGAAUUCCUAGUGUAGCGGUGAAAUGCGCAGAUAUUAGGAGGAACACCGGUGGCGAAGGCGCCGCUCUGGGCCGAUACUGACGCUGAGGAGCGAAAGCGUGGGUAGCAAACAGGAUUAGAUACCCUGGUAGUCCACGCCGUAAACGGUGGGCACUAGGUGUGGGUUCCAACCAACGGAAUCCGCGCCGUCGCUAACGCAUUAAGUGCCCCGCCUGGGGAGUACGGCCGCAAGGUUAAAACUCAAAGAUANGCGNGNGAGANCACGACGCGACGAGAGGAG
This 588-nucleotide ribosomal RNA is filed under the name uncultured bacterium. RNAcentral's name for it is "bacterial SSU rRNA". It matches the Rfam family "Bacterial small subunit ribosomal RNA", at positions 338 to 941 of the family's 1533-position model. The record is from RNAcentral.